This 451-nucleotide ribosomal RNA is filed under the name uncultured bacterium. RNAcentral describes it as "partial 16S ribosomal RNA". It matches the Rfam family "Bacterial small subunit ribosomal RNA", at positions 354 to 796 of the family's 1533-position model. The record is from RNAcentral.
GUGGGGAAUAUUGGACAAUGGGGGGAACCCUGAUUCAGCCAUGCCGCGUGUGUGAAGAAGGCCUUUUGGUUGUAAAGCACUUUAAGCGAGGAGGAGGCUUACCUGGUUAAUACCUGGGAUAAGUGGACGUUACUCGCAGAAUAAGCACCGGCUAACUCUGUGCCAGCAGCCGCGGUAAUACAGAGGGUGCAAGCGUUAAUCGGAUUUACUGGGCGUAAAGCGCGCGUAGGUGGCCAAUUAAGUCAAAUGUGAAAUCCCCGAGCUUAACUUGGGAAUUGCAUUCGAUACUGGUUGGCUAGAGUAUGGGAGAGGAUGGUAGAAUUCCAGGUGUAGCGGUGAAAUGCGUAGAGAUCUGGAGGAAUACCGAUGGCGAAGGCAGCCAUCUGGCCUAAUACUGACACUGAGGUGCGAAAGCAUGGGGAGCAAACAGGAUUAGAAACCCGGGUAGUCC